GUCUUUUAGAUUUAAAUUAAAAGUCUAAUCUGCCCAAUGAUUAUUGAAUGGCCGCAGUAAACUGACUGUGCAAAGGUAGCAUAAUAAUUAGUCUUUUAAUUGAAGGCUUGAAUGAAUGAUUGGACGAGAAUUUAACUUUAUUUUAAUCAUUGUUUGAAUUUGAUUAUUAAGUAAAAAAGCUUAAAUAAUUGUGUGGGACGAGAAGACCCUAUAGAGCUUAAGAAAAAAAAUUAAUUAAUUAGUUUUGGAGUUUUUUAUUAAAUAAAUUAAUUUGUUUUUUAUGUUGGGGUGACAUUGAAAUAAUUUUAACUUUCAAUAAAUUUUUCAUUAAUUUAUGUUUUCUAGAUCCUACAAUUAAGAUUAAAAGAAUAAGUUACCUUAGGGAUAACAGCAUAAUUAAGUUGAAGAGUUCAAAUCGAUAACUUAGUUUGUGACCUCGAUGUUGGAUUAAGAAAAGAUUUUGGAGCAAAUUUUAUAAAGCUUGGUCUGUUCGACCAUUAAAUUCUU
This 507-nucleotide ribosomal RNA is filed under the name Tibicinoides pallidula. Its description in RNAcentral is "partial large subunit ribosomal RNA". It matches the Rfam family "Bacterial large subunit ribosomal RNA", at positions 1829 to 2597 of the family's 2925-position model. Lineage: Eukaryota; Metazoa; Arthropoda; Insecta; Hemiptera; Cicadidae. The record is from RNAcentral.